Non-coding RNA from Poecilia reticulata (guppy), 8038 nucleotides. Lineage: Eukaryota; Metazoa; Chordata; Actinopteri; Cyprinodontiformes; Poeciliidae. The record is from RefSeq and is a predicted model, not a curated record.
AAGAGGGGAUGAAGGACAGGAAGGAGAAAAGUACAAGGAGAACGUAAGUGCAAUGAGCAAAGGAGGGAAGACAAAGAUUUUAAAAGAGGGAAAGUGAACUUUACUAAUACUUUUUGUCUAGAAUUACAGCAGUCUGAUCUGAUUAUUAUUAUGUAGAAUAUGAAGGUAUCUUUUUAAAAUAUUAAAUUGGCAUUUUAUUAUUGUGCUUUGCAACAAAUGCAUUGAUGUAAAUAACCUAUUUUUCACAUACUAAGCUUGAAUAAUGAUUGAAGAACCUUGAAUAUGGAUUGUUUUUUAAAUUAUGUCAGGGUUUUAAAUUAUAAAGCAAUAUGCAGAUUAAUUUUAUGACAUCAUGCACCACAUUAUGAACUGUUUAUUCUGUCGCCUCUCGAUCAGUAUUAGCCGAAACCUUUUCAUUAAUUAAAGUGAAAGUUUGUCUGUUGGAUCCAAACACAUGGGCCAGCCUUCAAUUGUCAUGUACAUCUUUGGUUCAAUUAUUGUCAGAUAUUUAAAAAACUAAUCACUCCCUUUAUUAGUCCAUCAAUUAACUGGUUUAGCAAACUUGUUGAACAAGCGUGAUUACUGCCACGCCUGUAGAAUAAAAAAAAAAAAAAACAUCUAAAUAGAAACUGCAUGAAGUCAUUUAAUGGAGCCCAAUAAGUAAGCUCAAGCUAAAAAUAAUAUUGAUAAAAAACUGAUUAGAAGUUAAGUCAUCAACAUCCAUUAGCCUACAAUGGCUGACAAAGCCAUUUCAAAUGUAUUGAAACUCCAUUAUCUGCAAAUGGAAAAAAUAUGGAACAGUGUAACAAAAUUACUCCAGAAGUGAAUCAAAGGCUCUUCAAUGUAAAGAACCAAAGACAGCAUCUGAAUCAACAAAGAGCUCCUUUCAACCAAUGUUCAUUAUUCAGCAAUAAGAAACACACCGGACAAAAAUGACAUCAAUGGAGGAAUUCCAAGGCAAAAACCUCUUCUCAUCAAAAACAUAAAAAGGACAUUAGCCAAAAUAUAACAAACAUUUUUGGGGACCACGAAGACUUUAGAGAAAUUAUCCUGUGGAUUGAUAAAACAAACUAGGAACCUUUUCUGGAAAAUAUGAGUCCAGUUUCUAAAAACUAACAGAAUUUCAACGUAAAAGGAAAAUAUAUCAGCAGUAAACUAUUGUAGUGAUAGCGAUAGCCAAUGCCUGUUUUGCUGCUUCAGGGCUUAGUUGAUGGAAUCAUGAAUUCUGCUGUCAACCAGAAAAUCCUGAAGGAGAAAGGCUGGUAAUUGGCUUGUGACCUUAAGCUCAAGCUUACUUAGGUUGUGCAGCAAAGGUGCACCACUGAAUAGCUGCAAAAGAAUGAGAACAAAAUGAAGAUUGGACCUUAAUCCAAUUGAGACGUUGCGGUAUGGCCUGCAAAAGGCUAGGAAUAGGUGCUUAAAUUAUAUAAUUCUAUGAAAAUUGCAUUUUGUAUUUAGCCUAAUUGGAAAAGCACCUUGCAGAAUAGCAGGAGUGCCAGAAAAAUGCGUAAUGAUGUAAGGUGCUGUGUUUCCAUGUUGCUCCAUCUCUCUUUUUCUCCACACCGGCCACAAUGUUUAGGUAACCAAUGGAGACCACUGAUUGGUAACUGCAUCACCAGGGGCAACAGCAAAUGUGAUGUGUGGCCCGACACGGGCACCAUUUCUUUUCUGUCCACAUUUACACACAAAUACAUGUAAAGUAAAAAAAAAAAACAACACACACACACACACUUGCAGAAAUUCACAAGCUGUCCUGCAUAUUCAUCACUUCAACACUUUGCAUUCAGCACAAGCACAGAGGACUAACACCUUAACCUGUGAACGUUAAAGAUUAGAGGAUUUCAGCAGAAGCAGCAAAAACUGACGUGAUUUUUUAUACUCUUAGUCUUAAUCUUCUGAUCCUUUUAUUUUACACUGAGGAGCUUCUCCAGCCGGUUCACUAACAGAUUUUGUCCAUUCAAAGCUGCAAAUAGAACGUAAAAUAUCCUUAACUUUAUGUCAAACUAUUUAUGGUUUCAGGUCAAAGGUGCUAACACGGCUUAUGUGAUAGCUUUGUGAUAUGAAAAUUUCAAUUUUGGUUGUUUUUAUUUUGCAAAGCAAUCCCUUCAGCUCCAAUUCAAGUCAAAGUUUUGGAUUAGACCCCUUCCUCUGGAGACCACUUUGUCUUGUAGUGAUUAAACUCCGCUGAGAAACAUUUUCUUUCUGUAAAUCUUAAGAUUUUCAUCAGCAGCUGCUUGGCAAAGACACUCUAGUUCCUGAUAUCCAACAUGCAUAACUGUAAAACUGGGUUCAACUUGUUUUAAGGCCAUGCUCCGCUGAUUAACAUUUUCAUCUGGAUUCGUAGUCCGGGCAUGUUUGGCAAAAAUGAAUCCAAGGACAAGUGGAAUGAGGAACCCAGAAUGAAUUGUCUUUCUGCUGGCUCCCUUUGCUUUCUGUGGAGCUUCAAUGUAAAAUUCAUGUCAGAGAUGUUUGUUUUUCAAAGUGAGUCAAUGAGGAAAAAGAAUUAAUCCAUCUCUAACAAAAAGCAUCCCCUGAGAUGAAAAGAGAUUUAACAAAGCCUAAUAGCUGCCAUAAGUCGCCUCUGUGGGGGUUUGUUCCUCACAUUCACAUGUGUACUAAUGGAAUCUCAGAAAGAUGUGGGGAAUAGUUUAUAAUAGUGCAGUAAACAUUAAAGUCAUAUUUUAUUAUGGCGGUGUUACACUGUAGCAUUAAAUUAAAGAUACACUGUUAAAAACUGAUUUAUUUAAUAAUUAAAAGACGUUUUCUAUGCUUUUUCCAAAGGAUCUGUUAGACAAACCAGGCAGAAAUUCAUCAAUUAUCAAUUCUGUCGUCCUCUCAAACAAUCAAAACUGUCAGUGCAGUUCAUUGUCUGAGAUCCAUAAAUGUCAGAAGCACAUUUCGUGGCAAUCCAUCCAAUAACUUCUGUCUGAACUAGAGUCAUCACAUCCCCACUGGAAGUCUGCUUUAUAUUAGACUUUAAUAUUAAAAAUCCCACAGGCAGCGGAAUGAGCCUUGAAUUCCUAAAAUCUCUGCUGUUGGUCUAGUAGUCAAAGUGUCCUUGGUAAUAAUCAAUUACCCUGUUAACGUCUGAUGAUAAAUUAUUGCCUUUCAGUGCUACAGAGCAGAAAACUGCAGCCAUAAGCCUUGAAAUUAUUCUGAUAAUUCAAAUCCAACACAGUUCAAGGUCAGUGUGCUGUUUUUGAAGAAAUUAACAAGCAUCUGUGAGAGAGGGAGAGGUUUCAACCAUGAUUUCUAAUCAUAAGGAGAUAUCUGAAUUCAACAGUCUUUACCCACACCAAGGACAUCUGACUCAACACAGUGUUACGCUAUUAGAGUAAGUCCUGUGUCAUGACUGCUUUGCAAAUGUGUGUAAGUACAUUCUUCACACAGACUCCCUCAAGCAAAUAGUUGAACUCCACUUUGCAGCAAUGCUAACAGUGUCUUUUCUUAAGUCAAUGAGGGGGAAGAAAAAGCCUCCGUGUGCAAAACUUGCUUUCAUUCAAAUUCAGCAGCAUUGCAGCUGCCCAGUAACAUUUCAGCUCACCAUGCAAUCACGACAUUACACUGUUCAUUUGGGACUCCGGUUAACCACAGUAAGAGCACUGCAGGACAGUGCUCUUACUGUUAUUGUUGAAUGAUGUCCAUCAUUCAACAAUAACAAUAAGAUCGGGCAAAAACUGCUGACCAGAAAAAAAAAAAAGAAAACUAGAAUACCCAGAAAAAUAUUCUUUAGAAAAACAGCUUCCUGAUACCCAAGUAUUUUGGGAAAAUUUUCUGUAGACGGAUAAAACAACAAAUCAACCUUUUUGAAAGAUGUGAGGCUGUUUUGCAGUUAAAAGACCUGGACAACUUUCUAUAAAUGGUGAAGGCUGAAUUCUGCUUUCUAUCAGAAAAUCUGAGAGGAGACUGUCCAGCCUUGUGACCUUGUGCCCACACUUGGGUUAUGCAAGCAAGACAAAGCACACCAACCAGUGCAUCUCUGAAUGGCAUGGUUAAAUUCAAUGUGGAUGUUGUGGUAUUUAUGCCCAAGGAGACUGAUAUGGUCUUGAUAAUCUUGAUGCGGUCCAAAAUGAAAAUGAGUUUGACACCCCUGCUGUAGACUAAAUGCCGGCACAGGUGUCGUUGGCACAGAGAGAGUUCUUACUGUUCAGCUCUGAGUAUUUGGUCGUUUCUGACUUUCUUGCAGCUCAUGAUGGUUGCCAUUUGCCAGUGGGAUGCCAAUGUUAGGUAGCUGUCUUCUCAUGCAUACUGGGCAUUUAAAAAACUUUAAAUAUUAAACAUUUUCUUUUAGAUCUAAUUAAAACAAAUGUAAACACACUAAACCGAUGAAGAGGAUCUUAUAAUUUUCUGAUGGACUACAGCUACAUCAAAAAAAAAAAAAGUAAGUCCCUCCUCACCUUUGUGUCAUUUUAUUGUGAAUUUAUUCUUGGUCAUAAACAUUCACAAUUAAUUGGAUUUUCAGUAGAACCACAUGAACCACCAUCUGAUCUUACUCAUACUACGCCUUUCCUUCCAAGUUUCCUCAAAGCAUUUAAAAGCCAAUGUGACUCCAGUAGGACAUAAUCAUGCUUUAGCUCAUGACCAGCUAAAUAAAAAAAACAAAGUUAAGCUCAGGCUCUCGCACAGGUGAUGCAGAUAUGUGAAGCUUUUGCUAGCAAAUCUCAUUAUUGUGAUAAACAGAUUUUUAACUGUAUCUGAUGCAAAUAUCUUGGCCAUCCAGACCAGACAUCUGUGUGAAAAUGUUUGUUAAUCAUCAAUAUAGGAUUGUGUAAAAUAUGAUCCAUUUCAAGGUAAAAGAGAAAAUGAAGUGGUCAAUCCUUUUAUUUUACUGACGAAGCACACACACGACGUCAGUGGUGGCAGUAAGGAUGUUGAUCUUGAAUCGUUAUUUUUUAUGUUUCCAAUUUGUAUCAUGUUGCUAUUUUUCACAUAAUAAUGUCUUUGAGCCUGUUUGCACUACAUCUAUGCUAUCAGUCAGUCUCUAGUGUUUUGUUUGCCCACACUUGAUCCUCAGCCUUGUCUGGGUCUGAAUUAUGUCUCUGAUCGCCCCCGUUUCACUCUGUCAAAUCCCCACAACACCUGCUGGCCUUUUUCUGUCUGCAGUUCUAUAAAUUACACACGGGAGAAAUGUUUGUGGAAGUAAACGACUUGAAGGCCGCUUUCAGAUCAGUCCUCGAGACAAAUGGCCCUCGAUCAAAUGGUUUUAUUUUCCUGCUCCUGAAGCCACUAGAAUGCCAACAGUGAAGCAACAAUUUAAACAUGUAUAGUGUUUCAGUGGUUCUCUAAUUUCAGGAGGUUUAAAUGGAAGGAAGGAGACAGAAUUCAGUCAUUGAUCAAAGGUCAUUUCAGAAGUUUAAAAAUAUUUAUACAUAUUUGUACCUUUUUCUGUCACAUUUUGUCAUCUUACAACCAGCAGUAUAUUUAUAUACUAUAUUGUAUAUUUUCACAAUCAAAGUGAUUAUGAAAAUAAAGAUAAAAUACUUAACGUAUCAAUUUAAAAAAGUGUGUCAUGUAUAUUAAUUUCAAUAUGAUACCCCUAAAUAAAAUCCAGUGCAAAGUUCUCUGCCCAGAUCAAGAUUUAACAUUUUGAUCUUCAUGCAAAAUGUGAAGUGUGGAGAAAAAUGUAAACUACACACUAUGAACAUAUUAAUAAUUGUAGCCCAGUUAAAAUCCUAAAUCUUGUUGAGAGCCCAAGUGAGCUUGAGCCAUUCUGCAAAGAGAAAGCACAAGACUUUCUGUCUUCAUGUACAAAGAGGAUGGCAAAAAAACUCAGAAAGACUUGCAGCUGUAUAAGAAUGUAUCUUUCUCUUUUCACUUUACAAUUAUGCUUAGUGCCAGAUUUUGUGCUGGUCUACCUAAAAAAUCCCCCAAAAUUAAGAAAAAUGUGUGGUUGUAAGGCAACAAAAGUUGUAAAAGUUCACAGAGUCUGAAUCCCUUGUAAAGCUCUGAAUGCAUUUUAGAGCUGAAUCGCUUACUCUGAAAGCAAUUUGUCAGAAAAAGCAGCAGUCAUUCUUGAAAAACACUGAUAUACAUGUUUCUGUUUGCUCCCCUCCCAGUGUCUUACUCCUCCUAGUCCUCCGUCUCUCUCCAGAGUGCACAGCUGAGAAGUGAUACAUGGCCCAGUAAUAGUCUGGGCCCAAGGGAGAGCAGCUCUGUGGCUUUGGUAAGAGGCUAUCAACAAAGACACACCUUCUCAACGAGUCAUGCACAGCCAGUCACGAGAACGCAGUCAUGCACUCAGGAGAGCACGCAGGUUUGAUUAAUACAGGUGUCUGCAGAGUGAGGCAAGUGCUAUCCACCCUUAGUCUUCUCCUUUUUUCACAUUUCCUCACUCAGACACAUUCAGUGACUCAGCAGUCUUAAGCUAAGUCCUAAUGCUGCUCUAAUGCUUUAAUUUAAUAUUUAAGAAAGUGUAAACACUGCAAACAUUUUGGCUCUUUAACGACUAAUCUUAUUAGAAAUAAAAUGCUGACAUAAAAUCUUUCAUUUGGUCAUUUUAUCUAUUUGAUAGUGAGCUGCUUAGUUGUAACAGUGUUUCAUCAGGACAGUUAUAUUACUGUUGCAGUAAAUGUCUGUGGUACAUUACAAUAUGAGGCCUGUUUCAUUUCAAUGAGGCACCAGAGGAAAACAACAAGAUUAAAUAAGAGAAAUAGGUCAAAUCUAUUAAGAAUUUGAAACUAUUUCAAGUCACUGAGGACUUCUGCAAAGUUUUAAUUGAAGCAUAGAAGUUGCUCAACACAAAAAAGAAAUCUGUCAUUCAGGAUAUCAAUGCAAAUCACAAUUAGAUCUCUCACAAUAAAAAACGUUGCCAAACGAUAUGUUGUCCACGUACUUAUUGCGUUAAAUGGUAUGGUUGUUUUGAGACCAUUUAAUAAUGGCAUGACAAUGCAAAUUUAUCCUGUUAAAAGACCAAUAAAUUUUACUUUUGUAAAAACAAAACUUAACAAAAUAUACAACAUAGCAACUUAAAACGAUAAAUGGAAAUAAAACCACACAAAAUCAAAACAAUGGAAUAUAAUGUCUCAAAAUUGCCCUUCAAAAAAUAUUAAUCAUCAGAAUGGAAGUUAUUGACACGAUUGAUCGUGCGAUUAACUGAUUUAUUAAUUUAUUGCUUACUGCAAGAGGCCUAAUCACAAUAAGCAAAAUCUGAGAUUUUUUUCAAAUCCCAAAUAUUUCAUUUUAGAUGUGAGUUUUAAUUUAUCUGUUUGUUAUGGCUAACUGUAGGAGCUGAUUUCUUCUGUCUGUGUAUCUAAUCAAGCAACUGUUUUUCUUUCUUUUCUCAAAGACGAUGACGGCAGCCACCCAGACAAAUCGAAGCAGCUCCUUCAUGAACAGCACUGACUCAGUGGCUCAGUGAUGGGUAAAAUAAAGUAAGGCUUUGGAAAAAAAACAUGGAUGAUGCUCGAGAGUGACGCCCAAAAAGAGUAUAUUUUGGAAAUAGGCUUUAUAAAGAAUGAACGUUCACCCUAGAGCUUAAAGAAGUGUCCUUUGUUGCCCAACGUAAAUUAAAGCAAAGACUGACAGCUGUCUUAAAUACUCUACCUUUCCCGAAUUGCUUCUUGCUAUUGUGGUAACAUGCAGCUCUAGUCUAGACCGACAAACUACCAACACUCUUUCUUUCAUAAAGGUCAUAGCACUUACUGAUGAUCAUGUACGGUAAUCACAUACUCUGAUUAGCAGCCUCUUGCUGCCACUUUCCUCUUAAAUCCUGUAGAAGUAGCAAAGGUGUCCUUAGUUUUUCACACUCAAGUUUCCCAUUUAAACUUUAUUGUUGCAAAAAUAAUUAAACUGAUCCAUCUAGUUUACUUUUAAUGCUUAUCUUUAAAUUUUUCUCUGGCCGUGUGGUUAGAAAGCCUGCCAUAGAAAUGUUGGAGUUGGGGAUAUAAUCCGUGCUCUUUAUGAUCAAUGAAAGAGAAGAUUUGAACUUCUUCCUUUUUAAAUCCAGCAUUAGUUGGUACAGGUAUUAUUUGAGCUAUUGAGGUGAUUAAAAAAAAAAAAAAACACUUAGCUGUAAUGGGUACUUUAACAGCUGCCCAAG